RNAcentral lists this ribosomal RNA (433 nucleotides) under uncultured bacterium. RNAcentral's name for it is "partial 16S ribosomal RNA". It matches the Rfam family "Bacterial small subunit ribosomal RNA", at positions 28 to 507 of the family's 1533-position model. The record is from RNAcentral.
GACGAACGCUGGCGGCAGGCCUAACACAUGCAAGUCGAGCGAGGACUCCGGUCGUAGCGGCGGACGGGGGUGUAAGGCGUGGGAAGGGGCACUUGGGUUCGGACUAGCCCUGGGAAACGGGGAGCAAUACCGGAUGAGCCCUUUGGGGGGAAGAUUUAUCGGCGAAGGUGGGGCCCGCGUUGGAUUAGGUAGUUGGGUGGGUAAUGGCCUACCCAGCCGACGAUCCAUAGCUGGUUUGCGAGGAUGCUCAGCCACACUGGGACUGAGACACGACCCAGACUCCUACGGGAGGGAGCAGUAGGCUAUCUUAGCCAAUGGGGGAGAGCCUGGUCGAGCCUCGCCGCGUGAGCCAUUAAGGCCUGAGGGUUGUAAAGCUCUUUCAGCUGGGGAGAUACUGACGGUACCAGCAGCAGAAGCCCCGGCUAACUCCGUG